UACGGAGGGUGCGAGCGUUAAUCGGAAUUACUGGGCGUAAAGCGCACGCAGGCGGUUUGUUAAGCUAGAUGUGAAAGCCCCGGGCUCAACCUGGGAUGGUCAUUUAGAACUGGCAGACUAGAGUCUUGGAGAGGGGAGUGGAAUUCCAGGUGUAGCGGUGAGAUGCGUAGAUAUCUGGAGGAGCAUCAGUGGCGAAGGCGACUCCCUGGCCAAAGACUGACGCUCAUGUGCGAAAGUGUGGGUAGCGAACAGG
This 253-nucleotide ribosomal RNA is filed under the name uncultured bacterium. Its description in RNAcentral is "partial 16S ribosomal RNA". It matches the Rfam family "Bacterial small subunit ribosomal RNA", at positions 524 to 776 of the family's 1533-position model. The record is from RNAcentral.